RNAcentral lists this ribosomal RNA (763 nucleotides) under uncultured Mycobacterium sp. RNAcentral describes it as "bacterial SSU rRNA". It matches the Rfam family "Bacterial small subunit ribosomal RNA", at positions 578 to 1338 of the family's 1533-position model. The record is from RNAcentral. Lineage: Bacteria; Bacillati; Actinomycetota; Actinomycetes; Mycobacteriales; Mycobacteriaceae.
GUUUGUCGCGUAGUUCGUGAAAUCUCACGGCUUAACUGUGAGCGUGCGGGCGAUACGGGCAGACUUGAGAUACUGCAGGGGAGACUGGAAUUCCUGGUGUAGCGGUGGAAUGCGCAGAUAUCAGGAGGAACACCGGUGGCGAAGGCGGGUCUCUGGGCAGUAACUGACGCUGAGGAGCGAAAGCGUGGGGAGCGAACAGGAUUAGAUACCCUGGUAGUCCACGCCGUAAACGGUGGGUACUAGGUGUGGGUUUCCUUCCUUGGGAUCCGUGCCGUAGCUAACGCAUUAAGUACCCCGCCUGGGGAGUACGGCCGCAAGGCUAAAACUCAAAGAAAUUGACGGGGGCCCGCACAAGCGGCGGAGCAUGUGGAUUAACUCGAUGCAACGCGAAGAACCUUACCUGGGUUUGACAUGCACAGGACGCCGGCAGAGAUGUCGGUUCCCUUGUGGCCUGUGUGCAGGUGGUGCAUGGCUGUCGUCAGCUCGUGUCGUGAGAUGUUGGGUUAAGUCCCGCAACGAGCGCAACCCUUGUCUCAUGUUGCCAGCGGGUAAUGCCGGGGACUCGUGAGAGACUGCCGGGGUCAACUCGGAGGAAGGUGGGGAUGACGUCAAGUCAUCAUGCCCCUUAUGUCCAGGGCUUCACACAUGCUACAAUGGCCGGUACAAAGGGCUGCGAUGCCGCGAGGUUAAGCGAAUCCUUUUAAAGCCGGUCUCAGUUCGGAUCGGGGUCUGCAACUCGACCCCGUGAAGUCGGAGUCGCUAG